ACGGGGCUGGCGAGCAGGCGGGUACGGGCCGGGUCGGCGGCCCGGCGGGCCCAGUACAGGCCCUUGACCGCGAGGUUGUCGGCCUCGGUGCCGCCC
Molecule: transfer RNA, 96 nt
Filed under: Streptomyces platensis
Lineage: Bacteria; Bacillati; Actinomycetota; Actinomycetes; Kitasatosporales; Streptomycetaceae
Description: tRNA-Ala
Source: RNAcentral